RNAcentral lists this ribosomal RNA (377 nucleotides) under uncultured bacterium. RNAcentral describes it as "bacterial SSU rRNA". It matches the Rfam family "Bacterial small subunit ribosomal RNA", at positions 29 to 433 of the family's 1533-position model. The record is from RNAcentral.
AACGAACGCUGGCGGCAGGCCUAACACAUGCAAGUCGAACGCUCCAGCAAUGGAGAGUGGCAGACGGGUGAGUAACGCGUGGGAACCUUCCCUAUGGUUCGGAAUAGCUCAGGGAAACUUGAGGUAAUACCGGAUAAGCCCUUCGGGGAAAGGAUUUAUCGCCAUUGGAUGGGCCCGCGUAGGAUUAGCUAGUUGGUGAGGUAACGGCUCACCAGGGCGACGAUCCUUAGCUGGCUGAGAGGAUGGUCAGCCACACUGGGACUGAGACACGGCCCAGACUCCUACGGGGAGGCAGCAGUGGGGAAUAUUGGACAAUGGGCGCAAGCCUGAUCCAGCCAUGCCGCGUGAGUGACGAAGGCCUUAGGGUUGUAAAGCUC